AGAAGAAUCAAAUGUUUGGAAAGGACCUCAAUCCACCUGCUGUCAGAAACUCUGCAUUAUCUGACAGCCUCCUGACUGAUCCAAGCUGCGUUGUUCAUGUGUCAGGUUGGUAAUCACUAUGAGUAAGAAAAAGGUUUCGGAAGAAGAACUGGAGGGCUGCUGGUGAUAGAGCUGUGGCUGGAACUACAGUCCCAGGAAGCUGCAGGGGAAAUUCGGCAGGAAAAGGUUUUCCUCAUUCCAGAAAGGAAUCUCAUUUUCCUGUGCACUGCCCCAAGGCGGAGCUCUGGAUGCACCCAAUUUUAUACUUGACAGCACAUUGCACAACUGCUUGGAUUGGGAAGGCUGAACUGCCAAAUGCAAGAGCUUCUGGUUUCAUCAUAUUGAAGAACUGAGAAGAGCACCAAUUUCAAAUGGAUGUCCUGUGCCCAGUACUGUGCCCAGAAGCAAAGUUUCCAAGGCUGACACAUUCAUUCUGCUGCCAAUCUGAUCAGUGCCUGGAGAGGGCUGGCACAGGAGACCCGAAGCAUCCUUCAGGCGCUGCUGGGAAUGUUCCACCAGGGGCAUGAGAUGGUUGAGAUCUGGCCACGGGUGCAAGGGACCUGCAUGGAGGGUCCCCCAGUCAUCUGGUGAAGGAUAGCUGCUGUGAGAGCUCAGACUGUAGUGGAGACCAAAGUAAAGAAUACACUUUCAUCAAAAGUGUUUCUCCAGGUUUGUUGUGACAAAUGCUUCUGUGACUUUUUAGUAUCACGAAUCUGUCUCUUACUUCCUUAUAUAUCCUAAUUCCUUCACUUUCUUUAAGAUAAACUGCAUCAC
Molecule: long non-coding RNA, 813 nt
Organism: Oxyura jamaicensis (ruddy duck)
Lineage: Eukaryota; Metazoa; Chordata; Aves; Anseriformes; Anatidae
Exons: 4
Source: RefSeq, a predicted model, not a curated record